CAGCUCCAGGUUGUAAUUGUUCUGCCUAAGGAUUUCCUUGUUCAGAUCAAUCUGCCUAAAGCCCAUUUCCUCCAGCUCCCUCAGCAGCUUCUCUUCAUUGUGACCAUCUAUGUCAAAAGGCUCAGGUGCUGCGGCGCUGGCUGCAGGUGGAGGCACAGGCACAGAAGCAGGGGCAGGGGCAGAUGCAGGUGCGGAUGCAGGGGCAGGCAUAGAAACAGGCACAGUUGUAGGCAGGAUAGGCACAUUAACAGGUGAAGGUCCAACCGGGGCAAGCAGCUCAGGUGCAGGUGCAGGCACACUAACAGAAGGCACAAAAGCAGCAGCAGUGGCACUGGACAUGGGAACAUCAACGACAAGGUUUGCAGGAGCUGCUGCAGGCAUAGAGGUAGCAACUACUAGAGCAGGCUGAGAUUUCUUGGGCUCUGGAAC
This 429-nucleotide long non-coding RNA is filed under the name Setaria italica (foxtail millet). RNAcentral describes it as "long non-coding RNA (SITA_LNC000532)". The record is from RNAcentral. Lineage: Eukaryota; Viridiplantae; Streptophyta; Magnoliopsida; Poales; Poaceae.